UAACCAAGAAAUGGGCAUCUUCUC
Molecule: non-coding RNA, 24 nt
Filed under: Rattus norvegicus (Norway rat)
Lineage: Eukaryota; Metazoa; Chordata; Mammalia; Rodentia; Muridae
Source: RNAcentral